Molecule: transfer RNA, 72 nt
Filed under: Ornithorhynchus anatinus (platypus)
Lineage: Eukaryota; Metazoa; Chordata; Mammalia; Monotremata; Ornithorhynchidae
Rfam family: tRNA
About the family: Transfer RNA (tRNA) molecules are approximately 80 nucleotides in length. Their secondary structure includes four short double-helical elements and three loops (D, anti-codon, and T loops). Further hydrogen bonds mediate the characteristic L-shaped molecular structure. tRNAs have two regions of fundamental functional importance: the anti-codon, which is responsible for specific mRNA codon recognition, and the 3' end, to which the tRNAs corresponding amino acid is attached (by aminoacyl-tRNA synthetases). tRNAs cope with the degeneracy of the genetic code in two manners: having more than one tRNA (with a specific anti-codon) for a particular amino acid; and 'wobble' base-pairing, i.e. permitting non-standard base-pairing at the 3rd anti-codon position.
Source: Rfam by way of RNAcentral
GAGAAUGUAGCUCAGUGGUAGCGCUCAUACUUAGCAUGUAUGAGGACCCAGGUUCGAUCCCCGGCAUCUCCA